RNAcentral lists this ribosomal RNA (416 nucleotides) under uncultured bacterium. Its description in RNAcentral is "bacterial SSU rRNA". It matches the Rfam family "Bacterial small subunit ribosomal RNA", at positions 37 to 433 of the family's 1533-position model. The record is from RNAcentral.
UGGCGGCGUGGUUNAGACAUGCAAGUCGAACGGGUUUUUCUGAAGGGCAACCGGAGGAAAAGCCAGUGGCAGACGGGUGCGUAACACGUAAGCAAUCUACCCUUGUGUGGGGAAUAACCUGUCGAAAGACGGGCUAAUGCCGCAUACGGUUGUCCUUCACCUGAAGGGCAUACUAAAACCCGGGACCGAAAGGCCGGGUGCAUGAGGAGGGGCUUGCGGCCUAUCAGCUAGUUGGCGGGGUAACGGCCCACCAAGGCUAAGACGGGUAGCUGGUCUGAGAGGACGANCAGCCACACUGGAACUGAGACACGGNCCAGACAACUACGGGUGGCAGCAGUUUCGAAUUAUUCACGAUGGGCGAAAGCCUGAUGGUGCGACGCCGCGUNAAGGAUGAAGGUCUUCGGUUUGUAAACCCC